This 249-nucleotide ribosomal RNA is filed under the name uncultured bacterium. RNAcentral describes it as "partial 16S ribosomal RNA". It matches the Rfam family "Bacterial small subunit ribosomal RNA", at positions 338 to 604 of the family's 1533-position model. The record is from RNAcentral.
CCUACGGGAGGCAGCAGUGGGGAAUAUUGCACAAUGGGGGAAACCCUGAUGCAGCGACGCCGCGUGAGUGAAGAAGUAAUUCGUUACGUAAAGCUCUAUCAGCAGGGAAGAGAAUGACGGUACCUGAGUAAGAAGCCCCGGCUAACUACGUGCCAGCAGCCGCGGAAAUACGUAGGGGGCAAGCGUUAUCCGGAUUUACUGGGUGUAAAGGGAGCGUAGACGGCAGAGAAAGUCUGAAGUGAAAGCCCG